UAGCUAGUUGGUGAGGUAACGGCUUACCAAGGCGACGAUCUGUAGCGGGUCUGAGAGGAUGAUCCGCCACACUGGAACUGAGACACGGUCCAGACUCCUACGGGAGGCAGCAGUGGGGAAUUUUGGACAAUGGGGGCAACCCUGAUCCAGCCAUGCCGCGUGAGUGAAGAAGGCCUUCGGGUUGUAAAGCUCUUUCGGCCGGGAAGAAAUCGCAUGGGCCAAUACCCUGUGUGGAUGACGGUACCGGAAUAAGAAGCACCGGCUAACUACGUGCCAGCAGCCGCGGUAAUACGUAGGGUGCGAGCGUUAAUCGGAAUUACUGGGCGUAAAGCGUGCGCAGGCGGUUUUGUAAGACAGGCGUGAAAUCCCCGGGCUCAACCUGGGAACUGCGUUUGUGACUGCAAGGCUAGAGUACGGCAGAGGGGGGUGGAAUUCCACGUGUAGCAGUGAAAUGCGUAGAGAUGUGGAGGAACACCAAUGGCGAAGGCAGCCCCCUGGGUCGAUACUGACGCUCAUGCACGAAAGCGUGGGUAGCAAACAGGAUUAGAUACCCUGGUAGUCCACGCCCUAAACUAUGUCAACUAGGUGUUGGGUGGGUAAAACCAUUUAGUACCGUAGCUAACGCGUGAAGUGGACCGCCUGGGGAGUACGGCCGCAAGGUUAAAACUCAAAGGAAUUGACGGGGACCCGCACAAGCGGUGGAUGAUGUGGAUUAAUUCGAUGCAACGCGAAAAACCUUACCUACCCUUGACAUGCCAGGAACUUGCCAGAGAUGGCUUGGUGCCCGAAAGGGAGCCUGGACACAGGUGCUGCAUGGCUGUCGUCAGCUCGUGUCGUGAGAUGUUGGGUUAAGUCCCGCAACGAGCGCAACCCUUGUCGUUAAUUGCCAUCAUUUAGUUGGGCACUUUAGCGAGACUGCCGGUGACAAACCGGAGGAAGGUGGGGAUGACGUCAAGUCCUCAUGGCCCUUAUGGGUAGGGCUUCACACGUCAUACAAUGGUCGGUACAGAGGGUCGCCAAGCCGCGAGGUGGAGCCAAUCCCAGAAAGCCGAUCGUAGUCCGGAUUGCAGGCUGCAACUCGCCUGCAUGAAGUCGGAAUCGCUAGUAAUCGUGGAUCAGCAUGUCACGGUGAAUACGUUCCCGGGUCUUGUACACACCGCCCGUCACACCAUGGGAGCGGGUUCCGCCAGAAGUAGGUAGCCUAACCGCAAGGAGGACGCUUACCACGGCGGGGUUCGUGACUGGGGUGAAGUCGUAACAAGGUAGCCGUAGGGGAACCUGCGGCUG
Molecule: ribosomal RNA, 1287 nt
Filed under: metagenome
Description: bacterial SSU rRNA
Rfam family: Bacterial small subunit ribosomal RNA
Source: RNAcentral